GCCAGAGUAGCUCAGUUGGUAGAGCAAUCCCUUCGUAAGGGAAAGGUCGUGGGUUCGAUUCCCGCCUCUGGCUCCA
This 76-nucleotide transfer RNA is filed under the name candidate division WWE3 bacterium. Its description in RNAcentral is "tRNA-Thr". It matches the Rfam family "tRNA". Rfam says of the family: Transfer RNA (tRNA) molecules are approximately 80 nucleotides in length. Lineage: Bacteria; candidate division WWE3. The record is from RNAcentral.